GAACGGCUUAUAAAACAAAAUUAACAAAAUAAUAAUAAUAACACACAUGUUCUCAUCUCCAUCCUUCAGGAAUUCAAGGAAAAUUUGAGAGAAGAACUGUGUAAACAGUUUCCUGAGUGUGGGAAAAAAGAUUUUGAAGUUAUUGUGAGUUUUACUAAUCCAUCAAACAUUUCUUAAAUGUUCAAUUGAUUUAAAAUAUGUGUCCAAGCUGCACUGGGCAUUAUUUGCAUGUGAAUAUAAACACAGGUUUCUCUGUAACAUUUGAUUUUAGGAUGUCCCUUUUGACUAUGGGAUGAAAAGUAAGGACCCCCUCAGAAAAGCAUAUUUCUAUCGCAAGGAUAACCCAGAUAAAGGAGAACCAAUCCCCAAAUCAAAGGUGUCCAGGCUUCUCCUUGAUUGUUUUUCUGAUGAGAUGUUUCGGGUUUACUGGAAGAACCAUGAAAACCUAGAAGGGGAAGAGAGAGGAGAAAGAAAAGGAAAUCAAAGAAGUCUUCAAAAAAUGGUGCAAGGACAAUGGCCUUGAGAUUGUAGAAGAGAGGUGAUGACCAUGACACCGACACCAGUGCUGCUGGUCAAGCAACUCCAGGAAAUGACCAGUCGAUCUGAACAUGUGAAAGAUUCAAAUAUCACGUUAUUGUGUGACUCUAGGGACUGUAGGGAGUUUUAUAUUUUUAAUAUUAAGCUGGUUUGAAUCAAUUAAUGUAGUUUGGGUAUUUUAAAUGUUUAAAUGUUAAAUUCCAUUAUUUCAUUUAAAUCUUAACUAUAUGAUUUAGUCUAGAUAUUAAAUGUUAUCAGAAUAUUAAAAAUCGAAUGACUUUUAAUCAGUUUUUUGUCAGUGAUACAAACUGAUACAAACUACUUCCUUCAACAUGUAUUAAUAUGAAAUAAGCUCUUGAUAAACUAAAAUUAAUCAUUUAUUUUACUGUUUCGACUACAUAUUGCACAUUUUCACAAGAAUCAAACUAAAUAGAUCACCUGGUUUCAAUACAUGCAGUUUUGUUCUGAAUUACUCAUUGUGUGGAAAUUCGUUAUUUAUAUCAGGUCAUCGCUAAAUUAAAUCUACAAAAGGUUUGAAUCUUUCAGCUUUUUUCUUGUUCCAAUUUGUUUCCUGCUGAU
This is an RNA transcript of Oreochromis niloticus (Nile tilapia), 1116 nucleotides long. RefSeq lists it as uncharacterized. Lineage: Eukaryota; Metazoa; Chordata; Actinopteri; Cichliformes; Cichlidae. The record is from RefSeq and is a predicted model, not a curated record. The transcript has 3 exons.